RNAcentral lists this ribosomal RNA (407 nucleotides) under uncultured microorganism. RNAcentral describes it as "bacterial SSU rRNA". It matches the Rfam family "Bacterial small subunit ribosomal RNA", at positions 9 to 414 of the family's 1533-position model. The record is from RNAcentral.
GAGUUUGAUCGUGGCUCAGAUUGAACGCUGGCGGCAUGCCUUACACAUGCAAGUCGAACGGCAGCAUGAUCUAGCUUGCUAGAUUGAUGGCGAGUGGCGAACGGGUGAGUAAUACAUCGGAACGUGCCCUGUAGUGGGGGAUAACUAGUCGAAAGAUUAGCUAAUACCGCAUACGACCUGAGGGUGAAAGUGGGGGACCGCAAGGCCUCAUGCUAUAGGAGCGGCCGAUGUCUGAUUAGCUAGUUGGUGGGUAAAGGCCCACCAAGGCGACGAUCAGUAGCUGGUCUGAGAGGACGAUCAGCCACACUGGGACUGAGACACGGCCCAGACUCCUACGGAGGCAGCAGUGGGGAAUUUUGGACAAUGGGCGAAAGCCUGAUCCAGCAAUGCCGCGUGUGUGAAGAAGG